Molecule: ribosomal RNA, 460 nt
Filed under: uncultured bacterium
Lineage: Bacteria
Description: partial 16S ribosomal RNA
Rfam family: Bacterial small subunit ribosomal RNA
Source: RNAcentral
CCUACGGGGGGCAGCAGUGAGGAAUAUUGGUCAAUGGACGAGAGUCUGAACCAGCCAAGUAGCGUGAAGGAUGACUGCCCUAUGGGUUGUAAACUUCUUUUAUAUGGGAAUAAAAUGUUCCACGUGUGGGAUUUUGUAUGUACCAUAUGAAUAAGGAUCGGCUAACUCCGUGCCAGCAGCCGCGGUAAUACGGAGGAUCCGAGCGUUAUCCGGAUUUAUUGGGUUUAAAGGGAGCGUAGGUGGAUUGUUAAGUCAGUUGUGAAAGUUUGCGGCUCAACCGUAAAAUUGCAGUUGAAAAUGGCAGUCUUGAGUACAGUAGAGGUGGGCGGAAUUCGUGGUGUAGCGGUGAAAUGCUUAGAUAUCACGAAGAACUCCGAUUGCGAAGGCAGUUCACUGGACUGCAACUGACACUGAGGCUCGAAAGUGUGGGUAUCAAACAGGAUUAGAUACCCCUGUAGUC